Molecule: ribosomal RNA, 268 nt
Filed under: uncultured bacterium
Lineage: Bacteria
Description: partial 16S ribosomal RNA
Rfam family: Bacterial small subunit ribosomal RNA
Source: RNAcentral
GAUGGCGACCGGCGCACGGGUGAGUAACACGUAUCCAACCUGCCGAUGACUCGGGGAUAGCCUUUCGAAAGAAAGAUUAAUACCCGAUGGCAUAGUUCUUCCGCAUGGUAGAACUAUUAAAGAAUUUCGGUCAUCGAUGGGGAUGCGUUCCAUUAGGUUGUUGGCGGGGGUAACGGCCCACCAAGCCUUCGAUGGAUAGGGGUUCUGAGAGGAAGGUCCCCCACAUUGGAACUGAGACACGGUCCAAACUCCUACGGGAGGCAGCAUG